RNAcentral lists this ribosomal RNA (422 nucleotides) under uncultured archaeon. RNAcentral describes it as "partial 16S ribosomal RNA". It matches the Rfam family "Archaeal small subunit ribosomal RNA", at positions 323 to 746 of the family's 1478-position model. The record is from RNAcentral.
CUACGGGGCGCAGCAGGCGCGAAAAUUUUACAAUGUACGCAAGUGCGAUAAAGGAACUCCAAGUGCUUAUGCAUUGCAUAGGCUUUUGCCAAGAGUAAAUAUCUUGGCGAAUAAGUGGUGGGUAAGACUGGUGCCAGCCGCCGCGGUAAUACCAGCGCCACGAGUGGGAAUCAUGUUUAUUGGGCCUAAAGCGUUCGUAGCUGGUUUAGUAAAUUUUGAGUGAAAUCGUUACGCUUAACAAAACGACGUGCUCAAAAGACUACUAGGCUUGAGACCGGGAGGGGUUAGGAGUAUUCCGAAGGGAGCGGUAAAAUGCUAUAAUCUUCGGGGGACUACCUGUGGCGAAGGCGCCUAACCAGAACGGGUCUGACAGUGAGGAACGAAAGCCAGGGGAGCAAAACGGAUUAGAUACCCCUGUAGUC